Molecule: long non-coding RNA, 483 nt
Organism: Erigeron canadensis
Lineage: Eukaryota; Viridiplantae; Streptophyta; Magnoliopsida; Asterales; Asteraceae
Exons: 3
Source: RefSeq, a predicted model, not a curated record
UCGUCAUCUUCUUCAUCGCGUACCUGUUCAUCUAGUUCAUCCGGUAAGGUUGUGUAUUUAAAGGAGUUUGCUCAACUAGGGGAGAAGUUGGAGGGUUUGAUUGGAGUUGGCAAGGAGCGGGUGGAAUUGGGGAAGAAACGGAUUGAUUAUGAACUACAAAAAAUCAACAUGAAACAAGAUGAACAAUAUAACAAAGAUAUGUCAAGGUUGGCAAUGGACACGUCACGACUUAAUGAAGUCGAUAGGGUGGCGGUGGAGACUAUGAAACAAAGGAUCCGCGAAAAAUAUAACCUGGUUUGAAGUGUUCGAUUUGGAAGAAAAAUUCAAAGGUUUGAAUACUGUACGAGAUUUCAGGAAGAUCAUUAUCUGAACCAACACCAUGACUGCCAUGACUUUUGAGAGUUAAUUCAAAACCAACACCAUGACUGCCAUGCUGAGUUACUGACUCGAGUUCUCGGAUUUGAACUUUAUUAAAUAUCAAAG